RNAcentral lists this transfer RNA (82 nucleotides) under Lepidopterella palustris CBS 459.81. It matches the Rfam family "tRNA". Rfam says of the family: Transfer RNA (tRNA) molecules are approximately 80 nucleotides in length. Lineage: Eukaryota; Fungi; Ascomycota; Dothideomycetes; Mytilinidiales; Argynnaceae. The record is from Rfam by way of RNAcentral.
GCACCGAUAGUUUAGGGGUAGAAUUGAAGCUUCCCAUACUCGAUAUCUGCUUCAGGCGCGGGUUCGAGUCCCGCUCGGUGCA